AAUCCCCUUCCUCUCUCGAUUUGGUCUGCAGGAGAGAGAGAAGAUAAGACGGAGAGAGAAGGAGGAGAGGAGGGAGAGGAAAAGAGGUGCGGUGGCAGGGAAAUCGUCGUCGGAUGCGUCUUAUAUGUGAUGGGUGUGUUCCCAUCAAGUCGAUGGUGGGGUUGAUGUGCCCGUCGAUUCGUGAUCCGCUGGCUGGGCUCAUCUUCUCAAUGGCGGACUGGUGUUCUAUGUUAGUCGGAGCCAUUGUAUGUGGUUGUGCAGUUGCUGAUGUACAGGAGGCGUCCGUGGUAUCAGUUCUUCAUCGUCCAUGCUUAUCUUCUAUAUGCUCUAGCAGCCAGUUCAAGUCAGGCAACUUCUCCUGGGCGAUCGUGCGUACUUGGUCGCUGUGGCUCCUUUGAGCCUUUUUCGAUGCCUGGGAAUCAGAAUUAAUAAAAUGGAGAUAAGGAACCAUGUAGUUCACUGAGCAGCUAUAAAGCCUAAGAUAAACUACAGUAAACAGAAAGUUGAGGAAUCAACCAAAUGUGUAGAAAUUUUGGUGACUAACUUAUGACUUGUUUAUUUCAGAGAAACUAAUGACUUAUCAAUCCAACAGACAGUAUGAAGUUGUGCCAAGUAAAGCCAAAAAAGAAACUGUAUGUAUAUAACGGAGUAGCGGAUGCGGUUCAAGCUGUUUUUUUGCCUGCUUAUUUUUUAUGUAGCUUUUUUGGCCUGCUUGUCAGUGAUGCAAUGCCUUAUGGAGUAACGAAAGCCUAGAAUGAGAGUUAGGGAAAAUGAAAUGGACACCAAAUUUGGUGAGGCUUAUAUACUAUGAACUUGGAGCCAAGUAGAAACCCCAGUGUUAGCUGAACAGAAAAUUUAAUGUGUUAAGUUAUGCAUAUUUCAUUGUACCCAAAUAAUUCAAAUAAGUGUUAACUCAAAGGAUUGUUUUUGUAGAGGUCCAUAUGCAAUUCAUCAGAUACAGAUAAAGGGUUAGUAUCUCCCAUGUGUGCAAAAUUGGUGUGCAGAUAGCAAUUCACAGACCACUUUCCCUGUCAGUACG
This is a long non-coding RNA of Triticum dicoccoides, 1039 nucleotides long. RefSeq lists it as uncharacterized. The record is from RefSeq and is a predicted model, not a curated record. Lineage: Eukaryota; Viridiplantae; Streptophyta; Magnoliopsida; Poales; Poaceae. The transcript is spliced from 3 exons.